Molecule: ribosomal RNA, 301 nt
Filed under: uncultured bacterium
Lineage: Bacteria
Description: partial 16S ribosomal RNA
Rfam family: Bacterial small subunit ribosomal RNA
Source: RNAcentral
CAGUCGCCACGGGAAUACGAAGGGGGCUAGCGUUGCUCGGAAUUACUGGGCGUAAAGGGAGCGUAGGCGGACAUUUAAGUCAGGGGUGAAAUCCCAGAGCUCAACUCUGGAACUGCCUUUGAUACUGGGUGUCUUGAGUGUGAUAGAGGUAUGUGGAACUCCGAGUGUAGAGGUGAAAUUCGUAGAUAUUCGGAAGAACACCAGUGGCGAAGGCGACAUACUGGAUCAUUACUGACGCUGAGGCUCGAAAGCGUGGGGAGCAAACAGGAUUAGAUACCCCUGUAGUCCCUGUCUCUUAUAU